GAAGGUUUUCCAGACCUUGCAAAGUUUACCCUCAGAAAUCCCAUCAAGAAAGUGGCUUGUAGAUUACAUGAUGGAGCUUGGGUUCUUCAAAUCACUUUCCCAGUGGGUUGGCAAUAACCUUAUGAAAUCUGGGGACCAUGAAACAUGGGCUUUUGAUCUCCAAGGUGCUGUUGAUAUGUUCAAUUCAUACAGGUUUCAGUUGGUGAUAUUGUGGUGACUCCAAUUUGAAUCAAUCAAUUUAUUCCAAUUUGUUCUUUUGAAGCUACUUCAGAAUUGAUGAAUUGAAGGAGAUGAUGAGAAGAUAAAGGAUGAACUAUUUUAAGUUUCUACUACUGGUGCUAGUGGUGACAGUUACUAAGAAGGCUGACCCCAAGGUGCUGGCUAACAAAGCUUCCAAGGCUGUCAAAGCUGGAGCAUCAACCAUUAAGAAGAAGGCUAAGAAUAUCUGCACAUCAGUCAUAUUUCACAGGCCAAAGACAUUGCAGAAGGCAAGGAAUCCCAAGUACCAAUAUAUUAGUGCACUACCAAGGAACAAGCUGGACCAUUACCAGAUCCUGAAAUACCCACUCACCACCGAGUCCGCAAUGAAGAAGAUUGAAGACAAC
Papaver somniferum (opium poppy) is the source of this 605-nucleotide long non-coding RNA. RefSeq lists it as uncharacterized. The record is from RefSeq and is a predicted model, not a curated record. The transcript is spliced from 5 exons. Lineage: Eukaryota; Viridiplantae; Streptophyta; Magnoliopsida; Ranunculales; Papaveraceae.